Molecule: ribosomal RNA, 440 nt
Filed under: uncultured bacterium
Lineage: Bacteria
Description: partial 16S ribosomal RNA
Rfam family: Bacterial small subunit ribosomal RNA
Source: RNAcentral
CCUACGGGCGGCAGCAGUGGGGGAUAUUGCACAAUGGGGGAAACCCUGAUGCAGCGACGCCGCGUGAGUGAAGAAGUAUUUCGGUAUGUAAAGCUCUAUCAGCAGGGAAGAAAAUGACAGUACCUGACCAAGAAGCCCCGGCUAACUACGUGCCAGCAGCCGCGGUAAUACGUAGGGGGCAAGCGUUAUCCGGAUUUACUGGGUGUAAAGGGAGCGUAGACGGUUAUGUAAGUCUGGAGUGAAAGCCCGGGGGCCAACCCCGGGACUGCUUUGGAUACUGGGUAACUGGAGUAAAGGAGGGGCAGGCGGAAUUCCAGGUGUAGCGGUGAAAUGCGUAGAUAUCAGGAAGAACACCGGCGGCGAAGGCAGCCUACUGGACUGAAACUGACGUUGAGGCUCGAAAGCGUGGGGAGCAAACAGGAUUAGAUACCCUAGUAGUC